Molecule: ribosomal RNA, 250 nt
Filed under: uncultured prokaryote
Description: partial 16S ribosomal RNA
Rfam family: Bacterial small subunit ribosomal RNA
Source: RNAcentral
UACAGAGGAUGCGAGCGUUAUCCGGAUUUAUUGGGUUUAAAGGGUGCGCAGGCGGCUUGCUAAGCGGGAGGUGAAAUGCCGGCGCUCAACGUCGGAAGUGCCUCCCGAACUGGUUAGCUGGAAUGACUCUACCGUGGGAGGAAUGUGUAGUGUAGGGGUGAAAUGCUUAGAGAUUACACAGAACACCGAUUGCGAAGGCAUCUCACGAAGGGUUGAUUGACGCUGGGGCACGAAAGCGUGGGGAUCAAAC